AGGUUUACCGGAGGGAUCAGAUGUUAUUCAACUCGUCACUCGUAGAAGGAAAAAAGAUCCCUUCCAGAUCUGCCCCCUGCUUCGGAAGGCCGUGGAAUGCAGUACAGUGCCUGGGUGGAACGCACUUCUUGUUUCUCUAGGCAACUGACAGCCCGUGACAGGACAUGACGUGGCGGAAAUAGACUGUGAAUGGGACACUGGGCGGAAGCGGUGGACGGUGGCAUCGUCGUUCCAGGGUGGCUAUUUAUGUGGGUCACAUGGGGAAGGUUCUCUCCGUGACGCCGGACGCAACGUGCGUCAGAUGACGUCAUUUCGACGCGCUGGGGCGCGAGGCGGGCGGAGACAUGGAUGGUCCCUGGGUAUAAGAUGUAUGUGUUUGUUUGUAUUUAUUGAUUGCACC
Molecule: long non-coding RNA, 400 nt
Organism: Pseudophryne corroboree (corroboree frog)
Lineage: Eukaryota; Metazoa; Chordata; Amphibia; Anura; Myobatrachidae
Exons: 3
Source: RefSeq, a predicted model, not a curated record